This 65-nucleotide transfer RNA is filed under the name Diaphorina citri (Asian citrus psyllid). It matches the Rfam family "tRNA". From Rfam's summary of the family: Transfer RNA (tRNA) molecules are approximately 80 nucleotides in length. Their secondary structure includes four short double-helical elements and three loops (D, anti-codon, and T loops). The record is from Rfam by way of RNAcentral. Lineage: Eukaryota; Metazoa; Arthropoda; Insecta; Hemiptera; Psyllidae.
CCCAUGGCGUAGUGGUCACUGCGCUCGCCUUGCACGCGGGAGACCCGGGUUCGAUUCCCAGCGGG